This 324-nucleotide long non-coding RNA is filed under the name Astyanax mexicanus (Mexican tetra). RNAcentral's name for it is "lncRNA (ENSAMXG00005001853.1)". The record is from RNAcentral. Lineage: Eukaryota; Metazoa; Chordata; Actinopteri; Characiformes; Acestrorhamphidae.
UAAAAUCCUUUCAGAUGUGUUCUUUGCAACAUGCCCACAUGCCUUACAACAAAUCUGUUACUUAAAUUUGGAAUGUAGCCAUAGACUUUUGGCAAUAAGGCUGUAAUUCUUUUGGCACCCUUAAAUAAAUGCAAUACUAAGCCUGCCUUUAAUGGAUUCUGCUUGGUGUGCAGACUGACCCAAAUAUAAGCUGGAGGGGAGCUGUAAGGGAUGCAGAGGAGACCCAAGAAGUUCCUGCCAGUGGGCUGUGGAAAUUUCAUCUGGUCUCGGGCAAAAAAAGUAAGCCGCCACCAUGAGUACGGACGCGGAGAUGGCCGUUUACGG